GGAAGAAGCUCAUCUGAACACUUCACAGUUUAUUUCACUUCCCCUCUCCGACGUCUCAUUUGAAGCCGCUGCAUCUCAAAAUCGAGCUACACCGAUUGAUUUUGGUACACGAGAAGUGAAAGAAGAUGACGAUGUUCUCAGUAAGUUGGAGCUAAUCGUUCAUUUUUAAUGUUCCAUUUAAGGUGACACUGGUCGUCGUCGAAGCGUUAACUUAAUAACGCCUUCUCCUAUUCCAGAAGAAACCGAGGAUAACUUAACAGAAACGCCUAUUCCUGUAGUUGAACACAUUCCAAGAAGUGCAAUUUUUGAACCUUUCAAUCACGAAAAUUCUCCUUUGUUCUCCGUGAAGGCACGUAAGGUAUGCACGUUGUAAUUUAAAACGUCGGCGUGUAGAUUUAAUCGAUAAAAAACGAAUCAUUUCUCGUUUUCAAUCUACUCGUCGUAAUGAAAUUCGAACAAAUAAUGGAGUUCUUCAAGAGAAAAUUUCAGAAAGCUCAUGAAUACCGCUCCAACGAUUCAACUCUCAGUCCUUCAUCAUCUUCCAACAAUGACGACAGUAUCCGGAUUGACGUAAGCAUCAAAAUGAUUAAAUCAUUUUUUUUAGUUUAAAAUUUACAGAGUAUCCGUGUCCGUUCAUCAAAAUCUGCAACGAAUAAUCAACUGAAAGGACGGCUUACACCAAUACUAGGAGGGUCCCUUCGCCCGAUUCCAAAAAAGUAAAACUCUUUCAAUAAGUUCUGAUAAUUUAAUUUCAUUUUUAGAAGGAACCGAGUCGCUUUCAACGGAAAUUCUACAUUUGUCGCACCGGAGAGACUAUGCUUGGAAGUUGAUAAAAUACAUCAAGAUCGUU
Molecule: small RNA, 850 nt
Filed under: Caenorhabditis elegans
Lineage: Eukaryota; Metazoa; Nematoda; Chromadorea; Rhabditida; Rhabditidae
Description: Unclassified non-coding RNA K03H4.8
Source: RNAcentral